CGGAGGAUCCGAGCGUUAUCCGGAUUUAUUGGGUUUAAAGGGUGCGUAGGCGGCCUGUUAAGUCAGGGGUGAAAGACGGUAGCUCAACUAUCGCAGUGCCCUUGAUACUGAUGGGCUUGAAUGUACUAGAGGUAGGCGGAGUGUGACAAGUAGCGGUGAAAUGCAUAGAUAUGUCACAGAACACCAAUUGCGAAGGCAGCUUACUAUGGUAUUAUUGACGCUGAGGCACGAAAGCGUGGGGAUCAAACAGGAUUAGAUACCCUGGUAGUCCACGCCCUAAACGAUGAAUACUCGAUGUUAGCGAUAUACAGUUAGCGUCAAAGCGAAAGCGUUAAGUAUUCCACCUGGGGAUACGCCCGCAAGGGUG
This 367-nucleotide ribosomal RNA is filed under the name uncultured organism. RNAcentral describes it as "bacterial SSU rRNA". It matches the Rfam family "Bacterial small subunit ribosomal RNA", at positions 526 to 896 of the family's 1533-position model. The record is from RNAcentral.